RNAcentral lists this ribosomal RNA (164 nucleotides) under Sartidia perrieri. RNAcentral's name for it is "5.8S ribosomal RNA". It matches the Rfam family "5.8S ribosomal RNA". Rfam says of the family: 5.8S ribosomal RNA (5.8S rRNA) is a component of the large subunit of the eukaryotic ribosome. The record is from RNAcentral. Lineage: Eukaryota; Viridiplantae; Streptophyta; Magnoliopsida; Poales; Poaceae.
CACACGACUCUCGGCAACGGAUAUCUCGGCUCUCGCAUCGAUGAAGAACGUAGCAAAAUGCGAUACCUGGUGUGAAUUGCAGAAUCCCGCGAACCAUCGAGUUUUUGAACGCAAGUUGCGYCCGAGGCCUUCCGGCCGAGGGCACGCCUGCCUGGGCGUCACGC